Molecule: transfer RNA, 57 nt
Filed under: Dehalococcoidia bacterium
Lineage: Bacteria; Bacillati; Chloroflexota; Dehalococcoidia
Description: tRNA-Gly
Rfam family: tRNA
About the family: Transfer RNA (tRNA) molecules are approximately 80 nucleotides in length. Their secondary structure includes four short double-helical elements and three loops (D, anti-codon, and T loops).
Source: RNAcentral
AGCUCGGCGGUAGAGCUGGCGGCUGCCAACCGCAAGGUCGUAGGUUCGGAUCCUACC